RNAcentral lists this ribosomal RNA (492 nucleotides) under uncultured Variovorax sp. RNAcentral describes it as "partial 16S ribosomal RNA". The record is from RNAcentral. Lineage: Bacteria; Pseudomonadati; Pseudomonadota; Betaproteobacteria; Burkholderiales; Comamonadaceae.
CACGUAGUUAGCCGGUGCUUAUUCUUACGGUACCGUCAUUAGCCUUCUUUAUUAGAAAAGACCGUUUCGUUCCGUACAAAAGCAGUUUACAACCCGAAGGCCUUCAUCCUGCACGCGGCAUGGCUGGAUCAGGCUUUCGCCCAUUGUCCAAAAUUCCCCACUGCUGCCUCCCGUAGGAGUCUGGGCCGUGUCUCAGUCCCAGUGUGGCUGGUCGUCCUCUCAGACCAGCUACAGAUCGAAGGCUUGGUGAGCCUUUACCUCACCAACUACCUAAUCUGCCAUCGGCCGCUCCAUUCGCGCAAGGUCUUGCGAUCCCCUGCUUUCAUCCGUAGAUCGUAUGCGGUAUUAGCACAGCUUUCGCUGCGUUAUCCCCCACGAUUGGGCACGUUCCGAUGUAUUACUCACCCGUUCGCCACUCGCCGCCAGGAUUGCUCCCGCGCUGCCGUUCGACUUGCAUGUGUAAGGCAUGCCGCCAGCGUUCAAUCUGAGCCA